CACUAUUCUUAAUGCCAUUGCUCAGGUAGAAUGUCUAUUGCACAAGUAGCAAAUGCAUCCCAUUGUCUGUGAAUAUAUUUGUGGUGGGCGACUGAGAUUCAAAGCCUAAUUUUGAUUAAAAAGGUCAACAUCACACUAGAUACUGAGCAUCACGUUUUGUUGCUCUUAAAGUUUUCUGGCAUGCAAUAGUAUGCAAUGAUAUAUACGUAAGAAUACGUAUAAUUAUUUUAUUCAGAACCAGUAAACUUCUGCUUUGUCCAUACGGCUGAGCCUCUGAAAAGAGGCUCCCAGAAAACAUGUAAUUACCGUUGAGUUGUUAAGCUGAAAGCUGUUCUACUUGGUUGUAGGUUUUACCAUGUCUUAACUAUCUUUAUACUUAUUAUACAAAUCCUGGGAAAAGCAGGGAAAGAAGUUGUGUGUUUUAAAUAUAUAGAUUUGUAUUCCAUUUUACUUGGUGUGAUAUUUGUGUUUCUGCCUCAAUGAGAUGCUUAGUGUGAGAGACAGGUGGAGAGUAAAUGGGAUAGAAGAGAUUUAGAAGCGUUUAAUGCAUAUCUACAGCUAUUUGCUUGGAAAAGAUGAUGACGUUACAUUGCAUGCUAAUUCUUUUUGCAAAGCCAAUAAAAGUGUAGUUUUUUCUUACUGAAACUGACUUAGGAGACUAAAAGUGUAGAGUGUUGUGAGUUUUGUUUUGUUGUGUUUGUUUGUUUGUCUGUUUUUAACUGAUAUCACAUAAAACCCCACGUUGUUGUGGCCUUAUUUUUCCUCCACACUUAAGUACAGGGAUAGCAAGCUUUAAGGGCAAGAGGUGAAGGAUUACUCAGGAGGGUGCUGGUACAGACACUUCCAUUUGGGAGUAUGAUUUGAUGAAGAAUGGAGUAAAGCAGAGGAAGAUGAGCAGUGAAACUGUCCUCCACUCAUCAGGAGAAGAGAGUUCAGUGGAUAUGAGCUGCCCACACUGGCUGGCGAUCUGCUGGGAAGGAACACUUCUCGGAGGUUUU
This 998-nucleotide long non-coding RNA is filed under the name Anser brachyrhynchus (Pink-footed goose). RNAcentral describes it as "lncRNA (ENSABRG00000020360.1)". The record is from RNAcentral. Lineage: Eukaryota; Metazoa; Chordata; Aves; Anseriformes; Anatidae.